This 1325-nucleotide ribosomal RNA is filed under the name metagenome. RNAcentral describes it as "bacterial LSU rRNA". It matches the Rfam family "Bacterial large subunit ribosomal RNA", at positions 1561 to 2925 of the family's 2925-position model. The record is from RNAcentral.
AGUGGAUGGGGAGCAACCUAGUUGUGCGUGUGUAAAGGUAGUGCCAAGAAAAGCGAUGAUCAUGUUGAAAAUCAAUUCCCGGUACCCGAAACCGACACAGGUGGGCAAGUAGAGAAUACUAAGGGGCGCGAUGUAACUCUCUCCAAGGAACUCGGCAAAAUGACCCCGUAACUUAGGGAGAAGGGGUGCCACCGAGAGGUGGUCGCAGUGAAGAGGCCCAGGCGACUGUUUAGCAAAAACAUAGGUCUCUGCAAACUCGAAAGAGGAGGUAUAGGGGCUGACGCCUGCCCAGUGCCGGAAGGUUAAAGAAGUUGGUCAGUCUUAGGAUGAAGCUAGCGACUGAAGCCCCGGUGAACGGCGGCCGUAACUAUAACGGUCCUAAGGUAGCGGAAUUCCUUGUCGGGUAAGUUCCGACCCGCACGAAAGGCGUAACGAUCUGGGCGCUGUCUCGGAGAGAGGCUCGGCGAAAUAGGAUUGUCUGUGAAGAUACGGACUACCUGCAUUUGGACAGAAAGACCCUAUGAAGCUUUACUAUAGCUUGGAAUUGUGUUCGGGCUUCCUGUGCGCAGGAUAGGUGGGAGGCGUAGAAGGUAUUCUUGUGGGGAUACUGGAGCCAACGGUGAGAUACCACUCUCAGGAGGCUAGAAUUCUAACUUAAUUAAGGACAGUUUCAGGUGGGUAGUUUGACUGGGGCGGUCGCCUCCAAAAAGGUAACGGAGGCGUACAAAGGUUCCCUCAGACUGGUUGGAAAUCAGUCGAAGAGUGCAAAGGCAGAAGGGAGCUUGACUGCGAGAAGUACAGUUCGAGCAGGGUGGAAACACGGUCUUAGUGAUCCGACGGUGCUGUGUGGAAGGGCCGUCGCUCAACGGAUAAAAGUUACUCUAGGAUAACAGGCUGAUCUCCCCCAAGAGUUCACAUCGACGGGGAGGUUUGGCACCUCGAUGUCGGCUCAUCGCAACCUGGGGCGGAAGUACGUCCCAAGGGUUGGGCUGUUCGCCCAUUAAAGCGGUACGUGAGCUGGGUUCAGAACGUCGUGAGACAGUUCGGUCCAUAUCCGAUGUAGGCGUGAGAAUAUUGAGAGGAGCCUUCCUUAGUACGAGAGGACCGGGAAGGACGCACCGCUGGUGUACCUGUUAUGAUGCCAAUUGUAAACGCAGGGUAGCCAAGUGCGGAGAGGAUAACCGCUGAAAGCAUCUAAGUGGGAAGCCCACCUCAAGAUGAGUAUUCUGGUGUAAGGUCACGGGAAGACGACCCGUAAAUAGGCACGAGGUGGAAGUGCAGAGAUGUAUGAAGCCGAAGUGUACUAAUAGACCGUCGGCUUGACC